CUGACCCCAUCUUGGCUGUCCUUCUGCAAGCAGGCAAAUAGACCUUUCUCUUCAGGCAAGCUUUCUUUCAGUAAUUGGCUAUUUGAGAAAGCUGCCUCUGCACCUCACUACAGCCAUCAUUCUGAAAUCUACUAAUAUUUCUCUGGAGACUUAGGUCUGGGUCCAAUCCUUCUGAUGGUGUCUUUGUAAGCGUGAUUACCAUAUCUAUUUAUAGGUCCAGUUGGUUAGAAGACCUCAACCUGAAGCAACGGCCAGCUUUUGCAGGCAUAGAUUGCCUGAGCUUCUCCUACUUGCCUUUCACAAGAGUGCCAUCACAUCUUCCAUGAGUACCAUC
Long non-coding RNA from Pogona vitticeps (central bearded dragon), 334 nucleotides. RefSeq lists it as uncharacterized. NCBI's taxonomy places the organism in Eukaryota, Metazoa, Chordata, Lepidosauria, Squamata, Agamidae. The record is from RefSeq and is a predicted model, not a curated record.